GUUCAGCUUGAUCAGUAAGCUCCAUGCCUUUCGGAGUUUCCAGGGAUAGGUGAGGCACUAGGUGCCGGUCUCGCCCCCAGGUACGGGGCCUGACAAAAUGAAACUGCUCGAUUUGUGAAGGACAUGCUUUCUCAGAUCAAGCAUUUGAGGACAGAAAAUACAACUUUGCUGUCUAAAUCUCAAUAUCUGUAGACGUGUGGGAGUAUUGUUGCUGCGUUGCGAUUUUGCUGUGCUGUUUCUGUUGAUCUCCAUCCUUCAUUCUUGCUUUCAUUUGGUUUCUUUUUGGAGUACUGUUGCCCAAGCAUUUAGGUACAUACCUCUAUAAACUUGUAGGAUUUUUAUUUUAAUCCAUCUUCUUUAUUCUUCUAUGAAAUUCAGAUGUGUCUAUGUGUGGUUCAUGAUGUAUGUUUUGUGAACUGCCCUCUCAAAGGUGCGGACGAUUUGAAUAGUGGGCUUUAACUUUGUCAACUUAAUUGUCGCUCAUAAAUGGUUUUCCAAUUUAGAUCUGCCCUUGUAACCUGAACUCUCAUUCUUAUAUUUUGUAACAUCAUCAGCCGAUACUUCUCUAUU
Molecule: non-coding RNA, 570 nt
Organism: Nicotiana tabacum (common tobacco)
Lineage: Eukaryota; Viridiplantae; Streptophyta; Magnoliopsida; Solanales; Solanaceae
Source: RefSeq, a predicted model, not a curated record